CAAGUACUCCCUCCAUCCGGAAUUACUUGUUAUCAAAAUAGAUGUGUCUAGAACUAAAAUACAUCUAGAUACAUCCAUUUCAAUGACAAGUAUUUUCGGACGGAGGGAGUACAAG
Triticum aestivum (bread wheat) is the source of this 115-nucleotide non-coding RNA. The record is from Rfam. NCBI's taxonomy places the organism in Eukaryota, Viridiplantae, Streptophyta, Magnoliopsida, Poales, Poaceae.